GUUAAGAAUGCAUUCAAUUUAAAGCAUUUCCACUCAUUGGAUGAGGGUGCCGCUUAAGAAAUGAUUUUCUGAUAUAUAAUUCUUUAAAUUAUUAGGCCGAUAAGUACAAAAUUAAUACAAGAUUUUGUGUAAUACUCCAAAACUUGCCACUUAGUACCGGAAAAUUUUGAGGUCUAUCGUCCUCUGUCGCCCCAUUCUCAAGAUAUUGAACUGUUUUUCAUUAUUUUUCCAGACACGUUUUUAGAUUAUUAUAGUGUAGCAUCAUAUUUACUGAAAUUUGUUGUCAAAAAGAUGUAUUUUAAAG
This 304-nucleotide long non-coding RNA is filed under the name Mytilus galloprovincialis (Mediterranean mussel). The record is from RNAcentral. Lineage: Eukaryota; Metazoa; Mollusca; Bivalvia; Mytilida; Mytilidae.